Molecule: ribosomal RNA, 250 nt
Filed under: uncultured bacterium
Lineage: Bacteria
Description: partial 16S ribosomal RNA
Rfam family: Bacterial small subunit ribosomal RNA
Source: RNAcentral
ACGAAGGGUGCAAGCGUUAAUCGGAAUUACUGGGCGUAAAGGGCGCGUAGGCGGAUCGUUUAGUCAGAGGUGAAAUCCCAGGGCUCAACCUGGGAACUGCAUCCAAAACUGGCGAGCUAGAGUAUGGCAGAGGGUGGUGGAAUUUCCUGUGUAGCGGUGAAAUGCGUAGAUAUAGGAAGGAACACCAGUGGCGAAGGCGACCACCUGGGCUAAUACUGACACUGAGGUGCGAAAGCGUGGGGAGCAAACA